RNAcentral lists this transfer RNA (67 nucleotides) under Arcyptera coreana. RNAcentral describes it as "tRNA-Gly". Lineage: Eukaryota; Metazoa; Arthropoda; Insecta; Orthoptera; Acrididae. The record is from RNAcentral.
AUUUUUCUAGUAUAAAUAGUCCUUUUGACUUCCAAUCAAAAAGUUUGAUAUUAAAUCAAGAAAAAUA